This 253-nucleotide ribosomal RNA is filed under the name uncultured bacterium. RNAcentral describes it as "partial 16S ribosomal RNA". It matches the Rfam family "Bacterial small subunit ribosomal RNA", at positions 524 to 776 of the family's 1533-position model. The record is from RNAcentral.
UACAGAGGGUGCAAGCGUUGUUCGGAAUUACUGGGCGUAAAGGGCGCGUAGGCGGCACAGCAAGUCGGGAGUGAAAGCCCGGGGCUCAACCCCGGAAUGGCUUUCGAAACUGCUGAGCUAGAGUACAGAAGGGGCAACCGGAAUUCCCAGUGUAGCGGUGAAAUGCGUAGAUAUUGGGAAGAACACCUGAGGCGAAGGCGGGUUGCUGGGCUGAUACUGACGCUGAGGCGCGAAAGCCAGGGGAGCAAACGGG